Mustela lutreola (European mink) is the source of this 2129-nucleotide long non-coding RNA. RefSeq lists it as uncharacterized. The transcript is spliced from 4 exons. Lineage: Eukaryota; Metazoa; Chordata; Mammalia; Carnivora; Mustelidae. The record is from RefSeq and is a predicted model, not a curated record.
AGGGAACACAAACAGGGGAGUGGGAGAGGGAGAAGCAAGCCUCCGGCUGAGCCCCGACUCCCCCCCAACCCCCGCCAUGUGGUGCUUGAUCCCAGAACCCUGGGAUCAUGACCUGGGCCAAAGGCAGAUGCUUAACUACUGAGCCACCCAGGUGCCCUGAAUAAACCAGAGGAACCACACUGGCCGUUGUGGGAUGCGUGUACCUGUGAACUCCCUAUUCUUUUGUCUGGGAGCAGAGAUGGGACAAACCAACCACCCUGGGUCCCCAGAAGACCCAUUCUAUGAGUCUAGAGGCAGCUCAUAUGAUCCUUCGUCAGUGGCCCACCAUCUACCGAAGAAUCUGGCUCCACUUGCUGACGAAGGAGGUGAUGUGGAAGAUGUAAGUGGAGGCUGACAUGCAUACCCAGCACAGAAGCAGGAGUGGACCGGGCCAGCUAGGCUGCCUGGAGGAGUCAAGAUUUCCUCUUUACCAGGUGGUUGGAGUAAAAGUUCGUCUGUGGCCCCUGAAAACACAAACACGAAGAUCGAGCCUUCAAAACUAUUUUUAGCAGAUGGUAAGUGCACCUGAUUACCCAUUACAAUCCACUCCCUGUGUUUGGGCUGCCAGACCAUUUGUUUCAUUAGUCUUGAAGGCAGGAUGGCUUCAUGAUUCAUCAGGUCUGUUUCCUAUUUUUCAUUUAUUUAUUUGUGAGAGAAAAACAGAGAGAGGACACAAGUAGGGGGAGAGGCAGAGGGAAAGAAUCUCAAGCAGAUGCCCUGCUGAGUGGGGAGCCUGACUUGGGGCUCGAUCUCACAACCCUGAGAUCAUGACCUGAGCCGAAACCAAGAGUUAGAUGCUGAACCGAUUGAGCCACCCAGGCGCCCCAGGUGUGCCUCCAAUUUCUAAGAACACAUUUUACGGACAAGCAUUAGAUCAGCAUCAAUGUCCUACUCAGCGUUUUCAUAAAUUGAAUGCAGAAAACACUUGGAGCCAAGAUGUGCCAAGAUAUCUGGGGCUGUAUCAAGAAAUCAAGGUCAUUACCAUUGUAAUCCAAGUCAACAGCAAUGGCCUCAGAUCUCUGCUCUUAAGAUGUAGUCUUGGCAGUUACGGGGUGCCCUUACCUGAGGCAUAGGAUGGAAACUUGCUUGUAAGCAAAAUAGAGUUCCGUGUUCCUCCAGUAUAAACUCCCCCUACUUUCCUCCAGGCCUUGUAGAUCUCUCCUGGCAUCAGACACGGAGAUGUGAUAGCAGGGUUAUAAGUGCUUUGUGUGGAUUAUCAUCACCGAGGACUCUAGUCAGAACUAAGAGUCCGAUAUCAAGGUAGAAGGUGCACACUGGGAUGGCACUGGGUUAAAUACCCACAGGACAAAAGGGACUCUGGAAAAGAUGUGACGGAGGGCUGCUGGGAGGCCGCAGAAGAGGAAGGCAGCGCUGGUGCCAGACGGCCCUCCUUCUCGACCUCACCUUUGUCUUUAUUCAACCCUCCUAUCCCACUCAUGCCUGCUGCUUGCCCUCUCAUCCUCUCCUGGGGAAAGAACAUCGGACCAGGCGGGUUCUGGAGUGUUCCUGCAUUCACACAUACCUGCGGCCUGGUAUGUACAUCUGUCUCAGCAAAUGGCUCCCACCUGACACCGGGGUCCACGGGGUCAGGGGGCUGGGAAGGGUUCUGCCUUGCAGUCAGAGCACUCUUAGGUGAUGAGAACAGCUGUGUCCUCUCUGCCUGCUUUACAAAGCCUGAGGCUUCAACGGGAUAUUGAGCUCAGGGAUGAUGGUAAAACAUAGCUCUGUGAUGUUGGUGUAGAGGGAGACACUGCCUGGUCCGGACGCCGGAUCACCUUAGUAAGCCAGUGCUCAAACUCGGAAAGUUGCAGCUGGUAGGUCCUAAGGGCCUCCCUAAGUGUAUGUCUAACCAGAUGGGGACAGCAGGGCCUUGUUCUGGGUUUUUAUAAUCUGCGGUCACCAACAUUUUCAAUUCCUUUGAAUUUCACAGGGUAUCAGAAGAUGUGUGGCUGGGGCACCUGUGUGGCUCAGUGGGUUAAUGCCUCUGCUUUCGGCUCAGGUCAUGAUCCCAGGGUCCUGGGAUCGAGCCCCACAUCAGGCUCUCUGCUCAGCGGGGAGCCUGCUUCCUCCUCUCUCUCUGCCUGCCUCUC